RNAcentral lists this ribosomal RNA (484 nucleotides) under uncultured bacterium. Its description in RNAcentral is "partial 16S ribosomal RNA". It matches the Rfam family "Bacterial small subunit ribosomal RNA", at positions 30 to 507 of the family's 1533-position model. The record is from RNAcentral.
AUUGAACGCUGGCGGCAGGCCUAACACAUGCAAGUCGAGCGGAUGAAGGGAGCUUGCUCCUGGAUUCAGCGGCGGACGGGUGAGUAAUGCCUAGGAAUCUGCCUGGUAGUGGGGGAUAACGUCCGGAAACGGGCGCUAAUACCGCAUACGUCCUGAGGGAGAAAGUGGGGGAUCUUCGACCCCCACGCUAUCGGAUGAGCCUAGGUCGGAUUAGCUAGUUGGUGGGGUAAAGGCCUACCAAGGCGACGAUCCGUAACUGGUCUGAGAGGAUGAUCAGUCACACUGGAACUGAGACACGGUCCAGACUCCUACGGGAGGCAGCAGUGGGGAAUAUUGGACAAUGGGCGAAAGCCUGAUCCAGCCAUGCCGCGUGUGUGAAGAAGGUCUUCGGAUUGUAAAGCACUUUAAGUUGGGAGGAAGGGCAGUAAGUUAAUACCUUGCUGUUUUGACGUUACCAACAGAAUAAGCACCGGCUAACUUCGUG